GAAUAAAAAAUCCUCCGAAUGAUUAUAACCUAGACUUACAAGUCAAAGUAAAAUCAACAUAUCUUAUUGACCCAAAUAUAUUUUGAUCAACGGACCA
RNAcentral lists this ribosomal RNA (97 nucleotides) under Mus musculus domesticus (western European house mouse). RNAcentral's name for it is "partial 16S ribosomal RNA". Lineage: Eukaryota; Metazoa; Chordata; Mammalia; Rodentia; Muridae. The record is from RNAcentral.